RNAcentral lists this ribosomal RNA (497 nucleotides) under uncultured bacterium. Its description in RNAcentral is "partial 16S ribosomal RNA". It matches the Rfam family "Bacterial small subunit ribosomal RNA", at positions 28 to 507 of the family's 1533-position model. The record is from RNAcentral.
GAUGAACGCUGGCGGCGUGCCUAAUACAUGCAAGUAGAACGCUGAAGGAAGGAGCUUGCUCUUUCCGGAUGAGUUGCGAACGGGUGAGUAACGCGUAGGUAACCUGCCUGGUAGCGGGGGAUAACUAUUGGAAACGAUAGCUAAUACCGCAUAACAGUAGAUGUUGCAUGAUAUCUACUUAAAAGGUGCAAUUGCACCACUACCAGAUGGACCUGCGUUGUAUUAGCUAGUUGGUGAGGUAACGGCUCACCAAGGCGACGAUACAUAGCCGACCUGAGAGGGUGAUCGGCCACACUGGGACGGAGACACGGCCCAGACUCCUACGGGAGGCAGCAGUAGGGAAUCUUCGGCAAUGGACGGAAGUCUGACCGAGCAACGCCGCGUGAGUGAAGAAGGUUUUCGGAUCGUAAAGCUCUGUUGUAAGAGAAGAACGAGUGUGAGAGUGGAAAGUUCACACUGUGACGGUAUCUGACCAGAAAGGGACGGCUAACUACGUG